This is a long non-coding RNA of Capra hircus (goat), 333 nucleotides long. RefSeq lists it as uncharacterized. Lineage: Eukaryota; Metazoa; Chordata; Mammalia; Artiodactyla; Bovidae. The record is from RefSeq and is a predicted model, not a curated record. The transcript has 3 exons.
GGCCCUGCCAGAUAUGUCGUGGCUGUUGGCGCCCUCUGUGCUCUUACGUCCAGUCUCCUAGGUGAUGUGUUCCCCAUGCCUCGGGGGAUGUACGUGAUGGCAGAGGAUGGAAUCCUUUUUCAGGGACUUUCCAGAUCCACGACUGCACCCGAAUACCCAUCAUGGCCAUCAUGUCUUCUGGCAUCUUUGCAGGUGAGACUCCACUACACCUUGGCUGGGGGUCAUGGACUCAAGAGGAGCUAAGAUUCUUCUAGCUUCGUGUCCUGCAUCUGCUGAAGUUGGGAAAGAGUUGGAUUAACUGUCUGAUAUUGGAUAAGUAUAGGGGCUGCUGUC